RNAcentral lists this ribosomal RNA (372 nucleotides) under uncultured eukaryote. RNAcentral describes it as "partial 18S ribosomal RNA". It matches the Rfam family "Eukaryotic small subunit ribosomal RNA", at positions 592 to 976 of the family's 1831-position model. The record is from RNAcentral.
CAAUAGCGUAUAUUAAAGUUGUUGCAGUUAAAAAGCUCGUAGUUGGAUUUCUGGUCGGAAGCUCCUGUCCUCUGAUGAGCGUACAAGUGCGUCCUACCAUCCUUCUGUUAACCUUUAAGGCUUUCGCGGCCUUCUAGGGGCUCAGAUAUUUUACCUUGAGAAAAUUAGAGUGUUCAAAGCAGGCCUUUGCUGUGAAUACAUUAGCAUGGAAUAAUAAGAUAGGACUGUAGUGCUAUUUUGUUGGUUUGCGUACUAUGGUAAUGAUUAAUAGGGAUAGUUGGGGGUAUUCAUAUUCAAUUGUCAGAGGUGAAAUUCUUGGAUUUAUGGAAGAUGAACUACUGCGAAAGCAUUUACCAAGGAUGUUUUCAUUAA